CCUCCCCUUCCUUUCCUUUUCCCCUCCCCCGCGGUGGAUGAUGUGGAUUAAUUCGAUGCAACGCGAAAAACCUUACCUACCCUUGACAUGUCAGGAAUCCUGGAGAGAUCUGGGAGUGCCCGAAAGGGAGCCUGAACACAGGUGCUGCAUGGCUGUCGUCAGCUCGUGUCGUGAGAUGUUGGGUUAAGUCCCGCAACGAGCGCAACCCUUGUCAUUAGUUGCUACAUUCAGUUGAGCACUCUAAUGAGACUGCCGGUGACAAACCGGAGGAAGGUGGGGAUGACGUCAAGUCCUCAUGGCCCUUAUGGGUAGGGCUUCACACGUCAUACAAUGGUACAUACAGAGGGCCGCCAACCCGCGAGGGGGAGCUAAUCCCAGAAAGUGUAUCGUAGUCCGGAUCGCAGUCUGCAACUCGACUGCGUGAAGUUGGAAUCGCUAGUAAUCGCGGAUCAGCAUGUCGCGGUGAAUACGUUCCCGGGUCUUGCACACACCGCCCGU
Molecule: ribosomal RNA, 498 nt
Filed under: uncultured bacterium
Lineage: Bacteria
Description: partial 16S ribosomal RNA
Rfam family: Bacterial small subunit ribosomal RNA
Source: RNAcentral